This 442-nucleotide ribosomal RNA is filed under the name uncultured bacterium. RNAcentral describes it as "partial 16S ribosomal RNA". It matches the Rfam family "Bacterial small subunit ribosomal RNA", at positions 338 to 795 of the family's 1533-position model. The record is from RNAcentral.
CCUACGGGGGGCAGCAGUGGGGAAUCUUGGGCAAUGGGCGCAAGCCUGACCCAGCAACGCCGCGUGAAGGAAGAAGGCUUUCGGGUUGUAAACUUCUUUUGUCAGGGAAGAGCAGAAGACGGUACCUGACGAAUACGCCAUGGCUAACUACGAGCCAGCAGCCGCGGUAAUACGGAGGUGGCAAGUGGUGUCCGGAUUUACUGGGUGGAAAGGGCGUGUAGCCGGGUUGACAAGUCAGAUGUGAAAUCCUUGGGCUUAACCGCAGAUAUGCAUUUGAAACUGUUGAUCUUGAGUACUGGAGAGGCAGGCGGAAUUCCUAGUGUAGCGGUGAAAUGCGUAGAUAUUAGGAGGAACACCGGUGGCGAAGGCGGUCUGCUGGACAGCAACUGACGGUGAGGCGCGAAAGCGUGGGGAGCAAACAGGAUUAGAUACCCCUGUAGUC